Molecule: long non-coding RNA, 997 nt
Filed under: Mytilus galloprovincialis (Mediterranean mussel)
Lineage: Eukaryota; Metazoa; Mollusca; Bivalvia; Mytilida; Mytilidae
Source: RNAcentral
CGUCUCACGCCAAGGACGAGUAAAGGUAAAUACCGGCUUUGAUAAAAAAAAAAAAAAAUUUAAAAAUGCAUUGUUUUUGUCUAAACAUCGAUCGGAAGAUUUUGAUGCCAAAAAUCAUUUGAAAACUUAAUUCCGUUAUUUAAAUACUAAUUGUUUCACAUUCCAAUGUGGAUAUAAGGAACUUUACUCGUUCAGCAUGCUCAAGUGGAUCAAACUGACAGCAGAAAAACAUUGACCCAACGUCAGUUCUUCUUCAGUCUUCUUCCAAUAAUUUACAUCAUACCACUUCUGGUGUAUUAUUGUAAAUUCGUAUCAUAUAGCAUCCGUAUUAAAAGCAACCGAGUCAGCAUCUACUUCUUCGAAUACUAUAGCUCAGGGUAUCAAGACAAGUUCUAUAGAAAUGAUUAAGGUUCAUGAUGUGUACCCUUUGGCUAAAAUGGCUGCAUUUUCACCUCAAAAUUUAGAUAGAUUACAGACAAACAGCGGCCUGUGCAUCUGGAAAAGUUUUAAGGCAUACCAUGCCCUAUAUAAAUAGAUUUCAAUUGCUUUGUCACCCAAACACAGAGGCAAUGAUUACCGUAAUAUAUCAAAUGAAUGGCUUAAAACAAAAAUUCUCAAAUGUUCUUAACUCAUAAGACAAUGCUUAAUUUCACAACAGCAACUAAAAUGUGUUACAGGUUUAUAAGCACCUCUAUGAAUCUAGUGUAUAUAAACUUUUUAUUCCUGUGGUCAUACUGCUGUUGUUAUGCUCCCACCGUAUUGAGUUUUAUCCUUGUUCUGCUGUAAGUAUGUACGUCCUUCCCUUACUUGUACGUACAUGUACCUCCGUACAUCCCAAAAUUCGUUUCUGUUCUCUUACUUUAGUUUGCCUGAACCAAAUUGUAUGAAACUUAUACGCAAUGCUUAUAACCACAAUUCACAAGUCAAGUUUGAAUUUUAGUUGCGUCACUUUUACCAUUCUAGCAUUUUAUGCUACUUUACAAAUAGAAAAGUUGCU